AGUCCUGUGACGCAGUGGCUAGCGUGUCGUUCUUAUAAUGCUUUUCUCCCCGAGAAGAAUUAUGGCCUUGAAGGUUAUGCGAAAGUCGUGGGUUCGACCCCCACCAGGACUA
Molecule: non-coding RNA, 112 nt
Organism: Aulographum hederae CBS 113979
Lineage: Eukaryota; Fungi; Ascomycota; Dothideomycetes; Aulographales; Aulographaceae
Source: the annotation of a GenBank genome assembly